Panicum virgatum (switchgrass) is the source of this 2555-nucleotide long non-coding RNA. RefSeq lists it as uncharacterized. NCBI's taxonomy places the organism in Eukaryota, Viridiplantae, Streptophyta, Magnoliopsida, Poales, Poaceae. The record is from RefSeq and is a predicted model, not a curated record. The transcript has 4 exons.
UCGCUACGCAUCCAGCGGUGAUGUCAUUGCCUCUUCACCAAAUCAAGGACACGAGGCGCAUCACUCGGUCUGCGUUAGCUUCUCCUACUCUUCGCGCUGCUCCGGUCGGAUGAGUCUCCCCAAUCCCUCGCCUUCGCCUCCUCUGUUUCUCCGCCCGAGUCUCAACAUGAUGUCCCAGUGCGGUGGCUCCUGCUAUGGCCUCGCGGAGUGGCGGGGCGCGGCGAUGGCGGGUGGCCGCCGGUCAACCGUCGCCUUCUCUGCCCGUCAUCAGCGCCGCCGCCGUCCUCCGAAUGCCCCUUGUAUGACGGCAGGAUCCCAUCGAUGGCUGGAAUGCUGGAUCCGUCGAGCGAGCCCCAUCCCCAACCCCAUCUGCUGAUUGCAUAUGGGCGUGCCAGUGCCUGCAGACGUGGAUGAUUUGCUGAGGCUAUGUUUCUGGACAUGGUCAAAUGAUACACAAGGCUGAACUCUAUUUUCAUGUUAAAAAGUUCAAUUUCAUGUCAUUGGAAAUGUGAGAAUUCUGAAGUAUGUGGCCUUGUUGGGUUUCCGUAGUUUGGUACGAGGCAAGGAGAUAUAUAGAACUAAAAGCUGGUUCCUUUUCAUUGUUUGCCAUAAAAUUUAGCCGGCGUAACACAAUUUAGGUUUGUCACAUAUUGGGUGCUAGAUUUCGAUGUAUGAGUCCAUUUGUUUUUCUUUCAUUCCUAUGCAGGAACUUAUUUUUUUAUUGCACAACUUCUUUCCAAAAUUCAAGGUUAGUUCUCUCUGUAUAUACAUCUAUAUUUCCAUUCUGUGAUAUUCGCCCAUUAUUUGUUUGUAGCUAUGUCAGUGAUGGUAGCUUAUUUAAAAAUAGAUAAAGUUAUUAGUAUAAAUCUGUAGCUCUUGAAUGAUGGUAGCUUAUUUAAAAAUAGAUAAAGUUAUUAGUAUAAAUCUGUAGCUCUUGAACAUCAUAUUUACCUUCCUAUAUUUAUUAAGUUGCAUACCUGUACCUUAUAUUUUAUCAAAUUGCAUUGCUGGUUCUACUUUUUUUUCCUUAUAUUUUGCUUUCACAAAGAGUAAAUGCGAUGUGCAUACCUGAAGAAAGUGCAUGUAGUUUUGUGAGAUACCAAAUAUGACCAGUUUUGGUCUAGAUGUAACUGCUUUAGGCACAACUAGCCUAUCAACAUGAUAUUCAGGGUUUAAGAUCCACCAUAUCUUGCCUUAAUCAGACGAGAAGUCUAUCAAAGUUUCUCUUUUGGCAAAUUGUAUUUUCUUGCAGUUUCAUAUUUAAAUAAGCAUUUAUUUCCUAGGCUUUAGUGCUUGCAAAGAUGUGGUCACAUCUUCAAUGCCUUUUUCACAUGAGAGGUGCUAUGUUCACUGAUUAGAAUGGAUUCAACUGAUGCUCUAGGAUAGUGAUCAUGAUGCCAGUGGCAUAAUUGUCAUAUUCAGUAAUUAUCAUUAUUUUUAUGCACGGGCAAUGUUAUCAUUAUGAUUUUAAGAAAUAAAUUGCUUUUGGCCUAUUGGCAACUAAUUUUAUUUCCAGUGGCUUCCUCAUGCACUUCUGCCUUAGGCCUUUGAAUAUGAUUGUCAGUGGCAGAUAGUAACCUGCAUUAUAAAUAUUACCAGUCAUUUUGCCCCUUUCAUCACUCAAAUAUCAAAUAGUUUUCUAUAGUUGAAAAGCGCUGGGUUCCAAAAUUGCCUCAGGAAGGUAUAUGCACAUUCGCUCUGCUUAAUCUUAAGUUUUUCAUUACAAGUUGGUGUUGCCACUGUGUUACUUUGUGAUUAAAGCAGCCUAUUCUUGCAAAGUACAGAAAGCAUAGGGGCAAAUUUUGUAGUCGUGGAUUGUUGAAACAUGUUUAUCUCCAUUGUUUAAUUUGAUGUUGGAGGGUUUGGCAUUAGCAUACUACUGUAAAAGUUCAUCUAAAAGUAGUUCGAUCCUUGCUUAUUUGACUGAGUUCCAUUAGUUGUGUAUAUUACAAGUUUACCCAUGCAUUGUUGCAGGUUCAUCAAAGGUAAUUCAUGAUUCCAUGUAUCACUUGGACAGACUUAGAUGACUAUCAUUUUUAGAUUGUGAUAAAUUUCCAGAAUAUGUUUAUGGUUAGUUUAAUUGAUUUUUUUGUUAUUACAAAGUGUUAUAAUUCCUACUUAGGAUAUCUCACGAAAAUCUCACAUUUGCUGCAGGCUUUUUUCUCUAUAUGCUGUGUUGCUUGCUAAUCGGACGGAUAAAGUUUCUGGUUCAAGAUAGUUUGCCACAUGUACCUUUUUUUCGUGCUUCAGAUCAAAUUACUGAUGUAUGAAUGUACAGGAAAAUGAUCAUUUGCAGCAUUUUUUCCUGUUAGAUAUAGCCAUCUAUUAAGUUUGACGAGGCUCUAAACGUAUCUACUGUAUAUGAACAAAAAUCUACCACAUUUAUUUUCAAUUGUAUAAAUUAGAGUUGUCCAUUGAUCAUGGCAGUCUACUUACUGUCCUCUCGCCCACCAUCAUGCCAUGUCUAGCACUUUCUUUGCUGCAGCAAAUAAGCUCUCACAUGCCACACAACCAUAUACACUCACAUUACCUGUAGGCGCGGCGUUAGCGCGCCA